Non-coding RNA from Acanthosepion pharaonis, 108 nucleotides. NCBI's taxonomy places the organism in Eukaryota, Metazoa, Mollusca, Cephalopoda, Sepiida, Sepiidae. The record is from the annotation of a GenBank genome assembly.
GCCAUAUCAAGUUGAAACACCGAUUCUCGAACGAUCAAAGAAGUUAAGCGACGUCGAGCAUAGUCAGUAUCUAGAUGGGUGUCCGCUUGGGAAUACCAAAUGUUGUAA